UACGUAGGGUGCAAGCGUUGUCCGGAAUUAUUGGGCGUAAAGAGCUCGUAGGCGGUUUGUUGCGUCGGCUGUGAAAUCCCGAGGCUCAACCUCGGGUCUGCAGUCGAUACGAGCAAACUAGAGUGUUGCAGGGGAGACUGGAAUUCCUGGUGUAGCGGUGAAAUGCGCAGAUAUCAGGAGGAACACCGGUGGCGAAGGCGGCUCACUGGACCGGUACUGACGCUGAUGCGCGAAAGCGUGGGUAGCAAACAGG
Molecule: ribosomal RNA, 253 nt
Filed under: uncultured bacterium
Lineage: Bacteria
Description: partial 16S ribosomal RNA
Rfam family: Bacterial small subunit ribosomal RNA
Source: RNAcentral